GAUGAACGCUGGCGGCGUGCCUAAUACAUGCCAGUCGAGCGAACGGACGAGAAGCUUGCUUCUCUGAUGUUAGCGGCGGACGGGUGAGUAACACGUGGAUAACCUACCUAUAAGACUGGGAUAACUUCGGGAAACCGGAGCUAAUACCGGAUAAUAUUUUGAACCGCAUGGUUCAAAAGUGAAAGACGGUCUUGCUGUCACUUAUAGAUGGAUCCGCGCUGCAUUAGCUAGUUGGUAAGGUAACGGCUUACCAAGGCAACGAUGCAUAGCCGACCUGAGAGGGUGAUCGGCCACACUGGAACUGAGACACGGUCCAGACUCCUACGGGAGGCAGCAGUAGGGAAUCUUCCGCAAUGGGCGAAAGCCUGACGGAGCAACGCCGCGUGAGUGAUGAAGGUCUUCGGAUCGUAAAACUCUGUUAUUAGGGAAGAACAUAUGUGUAAGUAACUGAGCACAUCUUGACGGUACCUAAUCAGAAAGCCACGGCUAACUACGUG
RNAcentral lists this ribosomal RNA (497 nucleotides) under uncultured bacterium. RNAcentral's name for it is "partial 16S ribosomal RNA". It matches the Rfam family "Bacterial small subunit ribosomal RNA", at positions 28 to 507 of the family's 1533-position model. The record is from RNAcentral.